This 223-nucleotide unclassified non-coding RNA is filed under the name Hevea brasiliensis (rubber tree). The record is from RNAcentral. Lineage: Eukaryota; Viridiplantae; Streptophyta; Magnoliopsida; Malpighiales; Euphorbiaceae.
GAAAAAGCUCGUCAUCUAUUUUCUUUGAUGACCGAGCGAGGAAUUCCACAAAAUACCGUUACUUACAACAGUUUGAUGUCAUUUGAGACCAACUAUAAGGAGGUCGCAAACAUUUAUGAUCAGAUGCAAAGAGCUGGUCUUCAACCUGAUGUUGUUAGCUAUGCACUGCUCAUUAGUGCAUAUGGAAAGGCUAGAAGAGAAGAGGAGGCACUAGCUGUUUUUG